This 492-nucleotide ribosomal RNA is filed under the name uncultured bacterium. Its description in RNAcentral is "partial 16S ribosomal RNA". It matches the Rfam family "Bacterial small subunit ribosomal RNA", at positions 29 to 507 of the family's 1533-position model. The record is from RNAcentral.
AUUGAACGCUGGCGGCAUGCUUUACACAUGCAAGUCGAACGGUAACAGGCCUUCGGGUGCUGACGAGUGGCGAACGGGUGAGUAAUGCAUCGGAACGUACCCAGAGGUGGGGGAUAACGCAGCGCAAGCUGUGCUAAUACCGCAGGUGAUCUGAGGAUGAAAGCGGGGGACCGAGCAGCAAUGUUUGGCCUCGCGCCUUUGGAGCGGCCGAUGUCGGAUUAGCUAGUUGGUGGGGUAAAGGCCUACCAAGGCGACGAUCCGUAGCUGGUCUGAGAGGACGACCAGCCACACUGGGACUGAGACACGGCCCAGACUCCUACGGGAGGCAGCAGUGGGGAAUUUUGGACAAUGGGCGCAAGCCUGAUCCAGCAAUGCCGCGUGCGGGAAGAAGGCCUUCGGGUUGUAAACCGCUUUUGGCAGGAACGAAACGGUGUCCGCUAAUACCGGGCGCUAAUGACGGUACCUGCAGAAUAAGCACCGGCUAACUACGUG